Molecule: ribosomal RNA, 353 nt
Filed under: uncultured Anoxybacillus sp.
Lineage: Bacteria; Bacillati; Bacillota; Bacilli; Caryophanales; Anoxybacillaceae
Description: bacterial SSU rRNA
Rfam family: Bacterial small subunit ribosomal RNA
Source: RNAcentral
GGGUGGACAGGUGGUGGCAUGGUUGUCGUCAGCUCGUGUCGUGAGAUGUUGGUUAAGUCCCGCAACGAGCGCAACCCUCGACCUUAGUUGCCAGCAUUCAGUUGGGCACCCUAAGGUGACUGCCGGCUAAAAGUCGGAGGAAGGUGGGGAUGACGUCAAAUCAUCAUGCCCCUUAUGACCUGGGCUACACACGUGCUACAAUGGGCGGUACAAAGGGUCGCGAACCCGCGAGGGGGAGCCAAUCCCAAAAAGCCGCUCUCAGUUCGGAUUGCAGGCUGCAACUCGCCUGCAUGAAGCCGGAAUCGCUAGUAAUCGCGGAUCAGCAUGCCGCGGUGAAUACGUUCCCGGGCCUU